GGCUCUGGUGGGGAUGUAGAUGUGGAGGGGGCUCUGAUGGGGAACACUGAUGUAAGGCCUCGUGCACACUUAAUAUUUGGCCCUAGUGCACGAGGCUCUGGCAUUUAGGUGCGGGCAGAGGAUACAGGUGCACCAUCCAGCCCUGCUAAUGGCAGCUUUUUUUUAAAUUCUGCUCUAUUCCAUAGCUGAGGAGUAAUUUAUAAAUGGCUUCUUUUUUUUUCGGCCCGCGAAUAUCUGUAAAAUAUACAAUGUGGCCCUCGAAGUCAAAAGUUUGGAGACCCCUGGUUUAGUGGAAAGAGUAAUGGAAAGUGUUAUUGGAUGAUGAUCAGAGAGAAUCAUAGGUUCAAUGGACGCUGAGAUUAAUGAGUCAAGUUCUGUCUGGUUCAAGAAGAAAUAAUCAAUCCUGGAGUAUUUAUUAUGAGGUGGAGAAAAGAAAGUGUAAUCUUUGGCCUUAGGAUGUAGAGUGCGCCAUGUGUCAUGGAGUGUUAAGUCUUUAAGUAAGUUUUUAAUUGAACGAAGAGCGGAAUAUGGCAAAGUGGAGGUACCUGAAGAAGAGUCAAUCAAAGGGUCCAGAGUCACAUUAAAAUCUCCACCCAAUAUUAACAUACCAGAUUGGAAAUGGGAGAGAGCGUCAAAAGUGUCCCUUAUGAAAGGGACUUGUUUUUUGUUCGGGACGUAAAUGUUAGCUAAGGUAAUGUCUUUGUUGUAAAGAGUACCUUUCAAAAAAAUAUAACGACCUCCAGGAUCAAUUAGGGAAUCUUGGACUCGUAGUGGGCAGUGUUUAGAAACAAAGAUUGAAACCCCUUUUGAUUUGGAAUCCGGAUUAGUGGCGUGAUAGUCAACAGGGUACAAAUUAUUGUGAAAAUUUGGAACAUUGUCGGACUUAAAAUGGGUUUCCUGUAAGAAAACAAUAUCUGCUUUAGCUUUACGUAGCAAUAAAAAUAAUUUCGACCUCUUCUCAGGGAUAUUGAGGCCCUUAACAUUUAAAGAGUAUAAGUUGAUAGUUUGAGAGGAAUUCGAAUUGUUGUUUGGCUGUGACAUUUGACCUUAAGAGUAAUGAAUUGUAAACAAUAGGAAAAAAAAAAAAAAAUUUAAAUAAAAAAAAAAAAAAGGGGGGGGAAAAACCAAAAAAAAGAAAAAACCCACGGAGAAAACCGAUAUGUUUUCUAAACCGUAAAUAUUACAAAGGUUUGGUCCAGAACAAAGUAGUGGGAAUGCAAUCGAGGACAGCAAUGCCCACCACCUUAUUACUGAGAGGGGUUGGAGAGCCCGGAUCGAGAAGAGACUAAAAUAAAGGACCUAUAUCCCGCCGCCACGGUAUAUAAAAAAAUAGGUAUAAUAAAGGAGAGGUAAUCGGAAGAUCAUAAAAAAAAAAAAAAAAAACGUGAAAACAGCAAGGAUAUGAAGAGGAAAGUAAAUAAUGGGAUGUAAUAAGUAAAUGAAUAAGAUAUAAGUUACUAUGCGGCAAUAAAAGAUAACAAAAGUAGAGCCAGCCGACAACGGUGGGAUUGAAUACAAUGAAAACUUACCCAGACAUUGUAACAUAUAAAUAUUUAAUCUAUCGUGAGUGAAGAAAUCAGCCUCUAUGUGUAAGCAAAAUCAGAUUAAAUGAGAUAUAUAAAAAAGAAGAAUAUCUCAGCAGGGUAGGAUUAUUUUGUUAUACUAAACCAUAGAGGAAACUGUGUAAGGAGUAUCCAAAUAUCAAUAGGUUUAAAAGACAGGAGAUUAAAUUAGAAGUCUUGGGUUUUAACCAUUCGUAGAAACAGUGCGUGCAAACAUUUUCAGCAAACAAUAGGAAAUUAACUAGUACACCAAUGGAUUCAAAAGGAUGUAACGAUAUUAUUAAAUCUUUCAAGGGAAGAAAAAAAAAGAGAACAUUGUGUCAAUUAGUUAGUUAGAAAGAAAUAAAUAACAAUUUCCCUGUGUGUAGACAAGAAAUCAAAAAAGGAAAAACAGCUAUGGUCUAUGUGUUAUACACAGAGGAUAGAAUGUAGCAUUACUGUGGGGAUGAUAUCACUCAGCAACAGUUAGAAUAAAAAAAGAAGAAGAAAGGUUAGGCAUAAAUCUGCACAUGUGAACAAAAUAAAAGUACCAUACUGACAUAGGAGUCAGACAGUAGAUAAACAGUCCUACGGGACACAUGCAGAAUGAUCAGCGCUGGUCUUCAGUAGUUGCAGCGUGAUUUUCGUGAGCAGGGAGAGCUGGUUGGUUCAGCGUGCGGUCCGCGUGACGUAAGAGAGCUCCUGUCAGUGGAGGGAGAGCGCCUCCUACGCAGUCUUGCAGCUUGUGUUUCCAUAGCGUUGGAUGAUCCAGGGUCCUUCUUCUUGUGUGCGUGACGGAAUUCCGCGUACCAGUCAGGGACAUCAAUCAGCGGUAAAGAAAGUGCGUCACAGAAGGGUUUAAGGUCCUCAGGUACUUUCAAUAGGGCAGUGCGGCCCUGGUGCGUAGCAGAAAGUGCAAAGGGGAACUUCCACCUGUAGACAAUGCCCCUGCUACGUAGAAUUUCAAGUAGUGGCUUAAGGUCUCUUCUGUUCUUUAGGGUAAUGCUGGACAGGUCCUGAAAAAUCUGUAUACGCGAUCCAUUAUAAGAGAGAUUGGAUUUUAGUCUGGCGUUUCUAAGAAUUUCUUCCUUUAGCCCAUAGUCAAUCAAACAACAGAUCACAUCUCUAGGGGGGUCGGUGUCUUUCCCCCUCGGUCUAAGGGCUCUAUGGAAACGUUCCAUCCCUAUUAAGGACUGGGGGGGUUUACCCAGAAUUCCAUUAAAUAGUUCGGUAACACAUCCAAGAAGGUGGUCGAAAUCAAUUUCCUCAGGGAGUCCCCUAAUACGAACGUUGUGUCUUCGUCCUCUGUUCUCCAAGUCUUCAGUGUGACGUUGGAGGUCUCUCAAUUGAAGUGUAUGGGUAUCCAUUUUAAAAGCCAUACGGCGAAGCACCGUGUCAUGUUGAGCGGUAGAUACUUCAACGUCCUGCACUCUAACAGCAAUGUCGCGUAUGUCGAUACGCAGUUCAGCUAUAGCUGCGGACAAUGUCUCUUUAAUGUCAGUCGCGACUGAUCUAAGGUCCAUCAAACUGGGCUGUAGAGAUCCAAUGUUUGGUAGUUCUUUUAUAUUAUCAGCCGCCAUUCUGGAAUCAAUUUCAAUCAAAACAAGGGAUAGAAGCUCUGACUAAUAUCAAAGUGAGGGCCCCUAGAUAUUGUCAAUGAGGCUGCAGUAAAUUGCUGAUUGUGAUUCCGAAAUCAAUAAUCGUCUUUCCAAAAUCGAUCAAUAAGAUCAGUAGUAUCUUGAGAAUCUAAUAGGAUAGUAGAUGUGUAGAAAUCACGACUAUUUACCCUCCGGUGAUCCGUAGCGGCGGGAGCCAAGGAGUUAAGCAGCCAUCCUCAAGCCAGGUCAAGCCACGCCCCCGGGGUUUUUAUUUCUUGCUAAACAAACGAAAAAGACAGAAAAAAAAAAAGAUUAAGUAAUUUUUCUCAUUCACUGAUGGGGGCGCUGCACUGAUGCUGUUAAACUGGUGCUGAUCCCUGCACUGGUGUGCCGCACCUGCAUGCAUUGCACACGUUUUGCGGGGGGCACUUGCAGAGCGGCCCCAUUCACUUGAAAAAACAUCAGAGGUUUAAAAUUCCCGCUGUGGCCGCGAAGCAAAGCAUUGUGGUCACAGCACAUGUAUACCCCUGGCUGCUGCCUCUGCAGCCGAAAAAGGCGGCAGUUGGAGGGCUCGUGUAUGAACCAACCUCGCGUAUGAACGAGCCCUUAGAAAUGCAGUACAAAAUGAUUACGUUUUUCAACAAUGUUAUGGAGCUUUCACGCUAAUGGUUGGUGCCAGGCUGUUUGGAAUUGUAUAAUGUUGUAAAUCGUUUUUUUUUUUUUUUACUUUUUCUCUCUGGUUUUCAGAUCCUGGUUCUGCUUUUCUACAUCUCCAACAUGAAAUGCAAGAAUGCUCAGGACUGGGAGAGCUUUGAUCACAAGACACAGACUAACCUGGCCUCCAUGCUGAGAUUCGUCCUGGUCAAUGAAGAUGACCUGUCCCUUGAUGACGAACUCAUCCACUUCCUGCAGGAGAAAGGUGAUAACUGGGGCUGGUGUACCGAGAUGAGGAAAAUAAUUCUUCUAUAUCUGGUGGCCUCUGUUCCACACUAUGCUGGACCUACUUGGCUAAUAAAAUCUGUCAUAUUGUAAAGGGUUCUGAUGUUGGAACAUAUAGACCAGUGGUCCUCAACCUUUGUGAGACCAGCGUCUGGU
This is a long non-coding RNA of Rana temporaria (common frog), 4234 nucleotides long. RefSeq lists it as uncharacterized. The record is from RefSeq and is a predicted model, not a curated record. Lineage: Eukaryota; Metazoa; Chordata; Amphibia; Anura; Ranidae. The transcript has 2 exons.